AUUGAACGCUGGCGGCAGGCCUAACACAUGCAAGUCGAACGGUAACAGGAAGCAGCUUGCUGCUUCGCUGACGAGUGGCGGACGGGUGAGUAAUGUCUGGGAAACUGCCUGAUGGAGGGGGAUAACUACUGGAAACGGUAGCUAAUACCGCAUAACGUCGCAAGACCAAAGAGGGGGACCUUCGGGCCUCUUGCCAUCGGAUGUGCCCAGAUGGGAUUAGCUAGUAGGUGGGGUAACGGCUCACCUAGGCGACGAUCCCUAGCUGGUCUGAGAGGAUGACCAGCCACACUGGAACUGAGACACGGUCCAGACUCCUACGGGAGGCAGCAGUGGGGAAUAUUGCACAAUGGGCGCAAGCCUGAUGCAGCCAUGCCGCGUGUAUGAAGAAGGCCUUCGGGUUGUAAAGUACUUUUCAGCGGGGAGGAAGGCGAUAAGGUUAAUAACCUUGUCGAUUGACGUUACCCGCGAAGAAGCACCGCUAACUC
RNAcentral lists this ribosomal RNA (485 nucleotides) under Enterobacter hormaechei. RNAcentral describes it as "bacterial SSU rRNA". It matches the Rfam family "Bacterial small subunit ribosomal RNA", at positions 30 to 503 of the family's 1533-position model. The record is from RNAcentral. Lineage: Bacteria; Pseudomonadati; Pseudomonadota; Gammaproteobacteria; Enterobacterales; Enterobacteriaceae.